CCCGCACACCCACGUGACUUGGAGGCACAGCCUGGGGAGCAGAGGGGAGUGUGGCCUUUGAGUGGAAGUGAGCUGGCUGGAGUGAGCGGGCGUGAGGGGCGGUUCGUGUGUGUUGAGUGGAAGCACCCGUGGCGGUGGGGGCUGACUGUCAGCCUCCCAGUCACUGGGAUCCCAGGCCUGCACCCCGGCCUGGAGCCAGCAUUUAAACCCUGGUCCUGGGUCGGAGUCCUGCUUACACUCUAGGGAGAGACAGCGCCUCCGGCCCCAGGAGAACCUGGAUCCAGUCAGCGUUCCUCUCCAGACCUGGACCUGGGAAGAAUCGCACCUCUGUGGCCAGAUUGUGCUGAGGCUCAGGUCCACCGUCCUGCAGCUGGCAAGCUGCGCUGGCCUUGGGUUCAAAGAGGGACGAAGCCGGGGCGUCCGUGGCCCCCUCCCCUGGCGGGCCAGAGCCGCACCUGGAGGGUGAAGCAGCCCCCCACGCAGGCACUGGCCCUGCUCCGGGGCCCCAGCGGAGGAUGUGCCCCUCCGUCGUCCCGCAGCUUCCUGCUCAAGUGGCAUCCUCGUGUCUCAAGAGGGGAGCUCCUUCCGAGAUGCUCGUUCAGUGCCUGCCAUGUGCCGAGUCCUCAGGGGACACGGGGCAGGUCUCCCCUCACCCGGCCUUCGCGUCCUCCCUGUCCCCAGCACGGGCAGUCCCUGCUAGCCCGCAGGAGGCCGGGGCUCACCUGGGACUUCCUGUGUGGGACAGAUACCGCUCUGCACACGAAUGUCAUGUAUGUUUUGUGUUGCGGGGGCAUCGGGGGCAUCGGGGGCAUCGGGGCCUGAACCCAGAGGCUCUGCCUGGGAGCCACAGCCCAGCCCUUUCCACUUUUUAUUUCCAGACAGGGUCUCACUAAGGUGCCCAGGUGGCCUUGAACUUGAGGUCACCAGCUCAGCCUCCGGUUGCUGGGCUGACGGGCUGCACCAGGGCACCCAGCUGCGUGGUCCGGUGCUCAGUCACGGGUCCUGCACGUCCCUGCCCGCUUCUGCGUCCCGUACUCUUACAGACUGUUCCUGCUUUUCAACGUCACGCUUAACACUUCUCACAUCUGAAGACAGAGAUCCUAUUUCUUUCUGAGUUUCUUUUUUCACAAAAUGUUUCCUCUGUUUUAAAAGAUGAUGAUGAUGAUGAUGAUGAUGUGGUACUGGGGUUUGAAGCAGGGGGCUUAACCACUGAGCC
This is a long non-coding RNA of Sciurus carolinensis (gray squirrel), 1216 nucleotides long. RefSeq lists it as uncharacterized. The transcript has 3 exons. Lineage: Eukaryota; Metazoa; Chordata; Mammalia; Rodentia; Sciuridae. The record is from RefSeq and is a predicted model, not a curated record.